RNAcentral lists this ribosomal RNA (253 nucleotides) under uncultured bacterium. Its description in RNAcentral is "partial 16S ribosomal RNA". It matches the Rfam family "Bacterial small subunit ribosomal RNA", at positions 524 to 776 of the family's 1533-position model. The record is from RNAcentral.
UACGUAGGGGGCGAGCGUUGUCCGGAAUCAUUGGGCGUAAAGCGCGUGUAGGCGGCCCGGUAAGUCCGCUGUGAAAGUCCAGGGCUCAACCCUGGGAUGCCGGUGGAUACUGUCGGGCUCGAGUCCGGAAGAGGCGAGUGGAAUUCCUGGUGUAGCGGUGAAAUGCGCAGAUAUCAGGAGGAACACCAAUGGCGAAGGCAGCUCGCUGGGACGUGACUGACGCUGAGACGCGAAAGCUAGGGGAGCGAACAGG